Pseudonaja textilis is the source of this 260-nucleotide non-coding RNA. NCBI's taxonomy places the organism in Eukaryota, Metazoa, Chordata, Lepidosauria, Squamata, Elapidae. The record is from RefSeq and is a predicted model, not a curated record.
GAAUGGCUUGGGGGGGAGGUGCCUCGCCUGGCUCCUUCCCUCCGAGCUGUUCCUUAUCACGCCCAGUCUCAACGUAUCUAUAGUUUUGUAAAAAUGUUGUUCACCCUUUUUUGACUUUAUUAUCUGCAUACUAUAGAUGUACUUUCAUGGACCACUGAAAGGAGGAAAUGGCUCACAUGCUUUGCCCAAGAGUAUGAUAGGCAACAGGUUUUUAAUGGGCUGCCAGUAAGAAGGGAGAAUGUAUUUUCCAAAGCACCAGA